AACGAACGCUGGCGGCAUGCCUAACACAUGCAAGUCGAACGAGACCUUCGGGUCUAGUGGCGCACGGGUGCGUAACGCGUGGGAACCUGCCCUUAGGUUCGGAAUAACUCCCCGAAAGGGGUGCUAAUACCGGAUAAUGUCUUCGGACCAAAGAUUUAUCGCCUUUGGAUGGGCCCGCGUUGGAUUAGCUAGUUGGUAGGGUAAAAGCCUACCAAGGCGACGAUCCAUAGCUGGUCUGAGAGGAUGAUCAGCCACACUGGGACUGAGACACGGCCCAGACUCCUACGGGAGGCAGCAGUGGGGAAUAUUGGACAGUGGGCGAAGGCCUGAUCCAGCAAUGCCGCGUGAGUGAUGAAGGCCUUAGGGUUGUAAAGCUCUUUUACCCGGGAUGAUAAUGACGGUACCGGGAGAAUAAGCUCCGGCUAACUACGUG
This 433-nucleotide ribosomal RNA is filed under the name uncultured bacterium. Its description in RNAcentral is "partial 16S ribosomal RNA". It matches the Rfam family "Bacterial small subunit ribosomal RNA", at positions 29 to 507 of the family's 1533-position model. The record is from RNAcentral.